AUGAACGCUGGCGGCGUGCCUAAUACCUGCAAGUCGCGCGAACAGACGAGGAGCUUGCUCCUCUGACGUUAGCGGCGGACGGGUGAGUAACACGUGGAUAACCUACCUAUAAGACUGGGAUAACUUCGGGAAACCGGAGCUAAUACCGGAUAAUAUAUUGAACCGCAUGGUUCAAUAGUGAAAGACGGUUUUGCUGUCACUUAUAGAUGGAUCCGCGCCGCAUUAGCUAGUUGGUAAGGUAACGGCUUACCAAGGCAACGAUGCGUAGCCGACCUGAGAGGGUGAUCGGCCACACUGGAACUGAGACACGGUCCAGACUCCUACGGGAGGCAGCAGUAGGGAAUCUUCCGCAAUGGGCGAAAGCCUGACGGAGCAACGCCGCGUGAGUGAUGAUGGUCUUCGGAUCGUAAAACUCUGUUAUUAGGGAAGAACAAAUGUGUAAGUAACUAUGCACGUCUUGACGGUACCUAAUCAGAAAGCCACGGCUAACUACGUG
This 496-nucleotide ribosomal RNA is filed under the name uncultured bacterium. Its description in RNAcentral is "partial 16S ribosomal RNA". It matches the Rfam family "Bacterial small subunit ribosomal RNA", at positions 29 to 507 of the family's 1533-position model. The record is from RNAcentral.